UACGUAGGUGGCGAGCGUUGUCCGGAUUUACUGGGCGUAAAGGGAGCGUAGGCGGACCUUUAAGUGAGAUGUGAAAUACUCGGGCUCAACUUGAGUUCUGCAUUUCAAACUGGAAGUCUAGAGUGCAGGAGAGGAGAAUGGAAUUCCUAGUGUAGCGGUGAAAUGCGUAGAGAUUAGGAAGAACACCAGUGGCGAAGGCGAUUCUCUGGACUGUAACUGACGCUGAGGCUCGAAAGCGUGGGGAGCAAACAGG
Molecule: ribosomal RNA, 253 nt
Filed under: uncultured bacterium
Lineage: Bacteria
Description: partial 16S ribosomal RNA
Rfam family: Bacterial small subunit ribosomal RNA
Source: RNAcentral